Molecule: non-coding RNA, 485 nt
Organism: Paramuricea clavata
Lineage: Eukaryota; Metazoa; Cnidaria; Anthozoa; Malacalcyonacea; Plexauridae
Source: the annotation of a GenBank genome assembly
CAGGAAUAAAACUAAUUAUAAGUCUUCUUUAGGUAUGGGGAUUGGUGUUGCAAGUGAUGACCGAAGGCAAAUUGCUCCUAACAUAACCCAUGUCCCUCCUCCUUCAGUCAAAAAACUUGUUGAAACCCAUCAGUCUAGAUUCAACUGAUCACUGUAGAUAAGUGUCUGGCACUUAAAACAAAGUGCUCUGGUUAGGUGGAGCUCAUAAUCCCUGAAAAGCAGUCCACCUAGGAGAAGGAACUCUGAUUACAAACCCCCGGAUCCCAAUAGUGAGUCAGGCUGUCCAUAUUGUAUUCAUUGAUCUUCGGUGCACAGCAAUACACUUUUCAGGACUGAAGUAAGGAGCAAGGAGUAAUUUUAAAGAAUAAAAAUAUCAAUGUCAAUACCAAAUGUUGUGCUUGAAUAUCCAAUGCACUUAAUAACUUGUCUUUUAUAAAAUGAAAUAUUACUGUUCAUAAAGAUUAACCCAUUAACAUGAUAAAGGC